Molecule: RNA transcript, 4025 nt
Organism: Myzus persicae (green peach aphid)
Lineage: Eukaryota; Metazoa; Arthropoda; Insecta; Hemiptera; Aphididae
Gene name: leucine-rich repeat-containing protein 74A-like
Exons: 3
Source: RefSeq, a predicted model, not a curated record
CUUUGAUAACAUAAUACAUAUAUGAUAUUAAAUUAUUAGUAUCAUAAUAUUUGUGCAUAAUUUUAAACAUACGUGAACGCUCGCAUAGGUACUUGUCCGAUUAAAUAAUGUAAAAACUUUUAGAGUGAUAUGUAUUUAAUAUUUUAAUUAAAGUUUAUAUAAUACUAAAAUUUAUAUUUGCUAGUUUGGAAAGAACUUCGAUUUAAUCAUAUCAUACUAUUAUAAUUAUAUUAUCGCAUAAUCGUUUUCAAAAUGUCAAAACGAGACAGAUGCCUACGACGUAAAUAGAACCUGGGGGGUGUUAAACAAUUAGACACACGGAUUAACACGUCGUUAAUAGCCAAACAAUUUCACACGUACGUGGGUCCGUACUACAGAGGAUUUAAUUAUUCAUCAGAGGAAAACUAGAGGCGUCAGAUCUACUCGUUAUAGAAGGAACAGGAAUGCCUGCAAUGCCUCAUUAAACCCACACCUUUUCACAUUAUUUGAUUUCUUGAAGACAAUGCGUACAAAAAUGAAUGAAUCGUGAAUCGACGAGUUAUUAUUUCUAUCUCCGUCGGUUAUUUUCAUUACAUAUUAUAUAAGUUAUUAUUCAUAUUGUUACCUAUCAACUUAGGUCAAUCAUAUCAUUACAAGAACAAGAACAAAAAAUGUAUUUAAAAGACAAUAAUACAAUAUAGGUACACGAUUUUUUUUGAAACGUUAUCUAUAGAAGAUUCGUGUCUUACAUAAUAUUGUACAUUCGUUUAAGUAACCUUGGUACUUGGUAGUCAAAUAUAAUACGAUGAUAAUAAUACGUUGUUAUUACAAUAAUUAUUUGAUAAUGUAUUGUAAAAUAUCUAUCGAGUGGUCAAUAGAGACUAUUACAGGUAGCCGGUAACACAUAAAUCUACUUGACGUAGAAAAAAAUCAAUAAUUGGUGGGGAGGAGAUCAUAAUAUUCAGAAUAAUAUCGGGUAUACUUUUUGGGGUGAAUUUUUUUUGCCGUUAAAGCGUAUUAUAUAAUAAUCGCAUUCUGAUAAUUACAUUUUUAAAUUUCUAACAAAGCUACAAUACAUUAUAAUUAAUUAACGUGUUUGUAAUUUAAAUUAACACCUACUUCCGGAUCGUCAAGCACCAAACUGCACAAUUCUCAAAGAAUUUAAGAAUCUAUGUGAAUAAAAUGAAAAUAAUGAAAUCGAAAACACAACAAAUGUGACUAAAUACUAUGUUGAUUUAAAUAUGUAUACAUCAAAUUGUUACCUAAAUUAUUUUUUUAAAUCAAAAAAAAUUGUUCCUUAAUACCUUUACUUACUAUGUUUUUUUUUAAAAACAUGUUAUAGAGAAAAAUCGACUUGCUUGGCUUAGAAUCCGAGGUCGUUUACUACCGGCUUUUUACAAUGAGACGGUCACAUUUAAAAUCAAUUUUAUUGUAUUCAAAACGAAAACUGCUUCCUAGCAUUUUACAUUAUACAUAAUACUACACAUAAUAUUGUACCGGACGAGUAACUUAUAUUUCUUGUUUGAUAUUUCGUAAGACGAUAAGAUUUGUCUAAAAACAUGUACCUAUUUAUUAUAAUAUUUAUGUAUUGUAGGUACACGUAUAUACUAUUAGUGGCGUAAAGAUAUUUUCAAUGGGAGGGGUUGUAUAAAAAAUUAUAUGUCUAUUAUGUAAUAGUGUAAUACUUAUUAUUAUGUCUAUAUAUCAAAAUAUUUUAAAAAUUGUAUUCUCCUAUAGAUAAUAUAGUAAAAAAUACUAAGAGGGGGUUGUAACCCUACACCCAACCCCCGCAUGUACGCCACUACAGUAUACUAUUAUUAUUAUAGUAGUAUACCAACUGCAAUAUCGGUCGGGGAUUGUUGAUUGUUGGUCAGCCUAAUUUUGCAGUAUAGGAUACUGUAGAAACCAAAUACAAAACCAAAUUAAAUAAAAAAAAAAAAAAUAGCAAUAAUUUAAUUUAUAUGUACCUUACUCUUCGACACAGACGUUUGUCUUGGGUACUACCAACUGGUAGUAGAAGUUUAAAUUGUGUUUAAGUAUAGCGGAAGAAUAAAAUAAUAACAAAUCUCAGCGAUGUUUGUUAUCGAUGUAGUUAGAUAUAUUAUUAUUAUAUAAUGUACAUCGAUUAGAAUUUAGAUUGUUAGGUUUCGGCGGUACUGGUUGUAGUGGUUCUGAUUACGGUUGGGAAGACGAUGACGACGCGACCUCCACUAUAGAUAAGUGUACCAACAAUAUUAUAGGAUUUAGUUAUUCAAGGCGCCUAAAGCCCAACCGUGUCAAAAUCGAUAAAAUAACUUACGAUAAUAAUGCAUUUAUGCAUGUUAUAAUAAUAAUAUUAUUAUUGCAUUAUAAACCGCACGGACUGGCACGUGCAUACAGAGUGAUCGAAUAAAAACAUAUCAUACAUCUUCGUAUUGGUUCGUGAGGCCGGGGUCAUAGCAGGGCGACUUAGGCAGUGCAGAUAUACCGGCUAGUCUCUCCGAGAAAUAAUAAUUAAAACAACAGGCGUUCAACAUUGUAAUAUAUAACAAUAUUAACGCUCUUUGUACACCGAAUAAGUAUACCUACGUGUAUAUUUUAAUAAUAAUUUUAAAAUGAGUAAAAUGUUACCGUCGUAGGGCUCGCGAGCGGCAGGUAUUGUAAAAAUAAAUUUUACCCCAAUAUUAAUUAAUAUCUAUUUCGUUGCAAAAAUGCAGAGCUGGUAUGUGUAAAAUGAUAUGUGUCUCCUCGUAGCCGCCGCCGCCGCCGCCGCCGCCGCCGGUCUCACGAGUUUUGUAUACGUACGCACAAACUACACCGUCGCAGUAGUCGUCGUCAUACUCGAACACUCACACAUACGCGCGGCCGAUUCAACAUCACGCCAUAUCACAUGACCCGUUGCUGACCAAUCAGCGACCACGUGCGUAGCGCCGCCGUCACCGUUGCCGGUUUUGGGUCGUCGUUCGCCGUCGCCGCAGCCGCGCGUCGCAUUGUUGACGUUACAACAAUAAUAAUAUUUAAACAUAAUGGUAUAAUAACAAUAAUAAUAUAAUAGGUACACCGCAAUAAUAACCAAUAAUAAUAAUAAUUAUAACAAUACAAGAUGAUGAUAAAACACACCUGCCCGCGGCGGCGCUCGCGAACGGUAAUCGGUCGGAUACGUAUCGUCGUCGUCAUAAUAUACUAGAUUUAACUACAGGUAAUGCAUACUUUAAUGUUAUUAUUAUUAUUAUUAUUAUUGCGGUUUUCGCCGCACGUCGGCAACCGGAGCUUUCAGAAAAUUAAGAAAUAUUAUGUACCCAACCUAUAACCUGCGAAAACCGAAAAUCCGCAAGUACAUCGUCCAUACCCCUGCCAACAAUCUACAUUCUAUACCUAGGCAUGGAGAUCGGUUUACACGAGGUUUCGAGACUAAACUUUCAACGGACCGGGGUUGUUUUCGUUCGAAUAUCGUUGGCAGAGAUGCACCCGCAGUCAUACGAUAACCUACGAGUUAUCAAUAAUGGAAAACAAUAAUAACUGUUCCGUUAAAGUGUUGUUAAAGAAAAAAAUGUGAAUAUAGAAAAAGUUAUUUUUGACACUGCUUAGUUGCCGGCGAUUUACAGGAAAGAUAUAUACCAAAUGCUUCAAAAAGAACGAUUUCAGGACUAAGCUGAAGUUUGAAUCUAUAAUUCAGGAGUACAAUUAGGGACAAUUGACGGCGUGUUACUAUAACAACCUCGACAACAGCGUGAUUCAACUGGAGCUACUGACCAGACUACUGACCAAGAAGACGGUAUCGCAGUACCUAUAACAAUAGAUCUGAGCUUUAAUGAUAUUACAGACUGUGCUUGUCUUCAAAAACUGUUGAAAGCAUCAGAAAUGAAUAUACCAACAAAUACAUACAUUCAAGUGAUUGAUUUUCUUUCAUACAUAAAAAAAGUGUUAAACACUCAAUUUAUUAUUAGGAAUUAAACCUAAGUAACAACAGCAUAAGAGGUGAAUGCGUCCACAACAUAAUUUCUUUUUUAGACACUAACGAUAGACUGCAAAAAUUAAAUUUGUCUGGAAAUUUUUUGAAUAAAGAA